RNAcentral lists this ribosomal RNA (429 nucleotides) under uncultured archaeon. Its description in RNAcentral is "bacterial SSU rRNA". It matches the Rfam family "Archaeal small subunit ribosomal RNA", at positions 474 to 903 of the family's 1478-position model. The record is from RNAcentral.
UACCAGCUCUCCGAGUUGUAGGGAUGAUUAUUGGGCUUAAAGCGUCCGUAGCUGGCUUAGCAAGUCUCCUGUUAAAUUCAGCGACCUAAUCGUUGAGCCGCGGGAGAUACUACUAGGCUAGGAGGCGGGAGAGGUCGACGGUACUUUCGGGGUAGGGGUGAAAUCCUAUAAUCCCGGGAGGACCACCAGUGGCGAAGGCUGUCGACUAGAACGCGCUCGACGGUGAGGGACGAAAGCUGGGGGAGCGAACCGGAUUAGAUACCCGGGUAGUCCCAGCUGUAAACUAUGCGGGCUAGGUGUUGGGGUGGCUACGGGCCACUUCAGUGCCGCAGGAAAGCCAUUAAGCCCGCCGCCUGGGGAGUACGGCCGCAAGGCUGAAACUUGAAGGAAUUGGCGGGGGAGCACCACAAGGCGUGAAGCUUGCGGUUC